GCGUUCCUCACUGGAGAGAGGCGGGGUGGACCGGGGCCGCAAGCCCGGGUUGAGCUCGCCCACCGAAGGGGCAAGCCACGGACAGGCAGUUGCGCGUCCGGCGGCCAAUCUCUCAGGUAAAGCGGACAGCGAGGGCAUC
This 139-nucleotide non-coding RNA is filed under the name Roseateles depolymerans. Its description in RNAcentral is "Glycine sequence". It matches the Rfam family "Glycine riboswitch aptamer". Rfam says of the family: This family represents the bacterial glycine riboswitch. Glycine riboswitches usually consist of two metabolite-binding aptamers domains with similar structures in tandem. The aptamers cooperatively bind glycine to regulate the expression of downstream genes. Lineage: Bacteria; Pseudomonadati; Pseudomonadota; Betaproteobacteria; Burkholderiales; Sphaerotilaceae. The record is from Rfam by way of RNAcentral.